This 937-nucleotide ribosomal RNA is filed under the name Callioplana marginata. RNAcentral describes it as "partial large subunit ribosomal RNA". It matches the Rfam family "Eukaryotic large subunit ribosomal RNA", at positions 107 to 858 of the family's 3401-position model. Lineage: Eukaryota; Metazoa; Platyhelminthes; Polycladida; Callioplanidae. The record is from RNAcentral.
GCCCAGCACCGAAUCCUGUGCCGGCGAGGUAUUAGGAAAUGUGGUGUUUAGGCCGUCUUUUACGCUGAUAUAGCUCUCCUCAAGUCCACUUGAUUGUGGCUUCAGGCCCAGAGAGGGUGUAAGGCCCGUGGAGGCGAGUUGUUUGGCUUUCAGGACGUCCUUAGAGUCGGGUUGUUUGGGAAUGCAGCCCUAAGCGGGUGGUAAACUCCAUCCAAGGCUAAAUACUAGCACGAGUCCGAUAGCGAAGAAGUACCGCGAGGGAAAGUUGAAAAGAACUUUGAAGAGAGAGUUCAAGAGUACGUGAAACCGCUGAGAGGCAAACUGGUGGAGCUGAAAUGGUCGUAUGGAAAUCAGCCAUUCGAAGCUGUCAAUUCGUCGGUUCCGAGACCUUACGGCUCAAUCGGCGUACUGUACAGGGUCGAUAGGUGCACUUUCUAUCUGACCGGACCACGAUCAGCGAGCUGCUUGUCUGGCGCUUGUGGAAGGUGGCGUCCACUUCGGUGGACGUGUUAUAGCCACAUGUUCGGAGUGAGCGGCGCGUUGGAGCUAAUGAUGCAUGCCGUAAGGGCUCGUAAGCUGUAUCUUUCUGGCGUACUUCCAGCCUCCAUGCGUAAGCAAGGGGGUUGGCGGUGCUUUAGUUAGAGGCAGCCGCUGCGAAUUGCGUCAGAAGUCUGUGGUUUCGUAGUAGGCAGUCCACCUGACCCGUCUUGAAACACGGACCAAGGAGUCUAACAUGUGCGCGAGUCAUUGGGUUAUACGAAACCUAAAGGCGCAGUGAAAGUGAAGAUCUACUUUGGUGGAUUGAGGUAGGAUCCCGGGUCACGUGCUCGGGCGCACUACCGGCCCGUUCGACAUGUCUUCAUGCGGGCGGAGCAAGAGCGUACACGUUGGGACCCGAAAGAUGGUGAACUAUGCUUGCGCAGGUCGAAGCCAGAGG